UAGGGAAUCUUCGGCAAUGGACGAAAGUCUGACCGAGCAACGCCGCGUGAGUGAAGAAGGUUUUCGGAUCGUAAAACUCUGUUGUUAGAGAAGAACAAGGACGUUAGUAACUGAACGUCCCCUGACGGUAUCUAACCAGAAAGCCACGGCUAACUACGUGCCAGCAGCCGCGGUAAUACGUAGGUGGCAAGCGUUGUCCGGAUUUAUUGGGCGUAAAGCGAGCGCAGGCGGUUUCUUAAGUCUGAUGUGAAAGCCCCCGGCUCAACCGGGGAGGGUCAUUGGAAACUGGGAGACUUGAGUGCAGAAGAGUAGAGUGGAAUUCCAGGUGUAGCGGUGAAAUGCGUAGAUAUAUGGAGGAACACCAGUGGCGAAGGCGGCUCUCUGGUCUGUAACUGACGCUGAGGCUCGAAAGCGUGGGGAGCAAACAGG
This 429-nucleotide ribosomal RNA is filed under the name Gemmatimonadota bacterium. Its description in RNAcentral is "Gemmatimonadetes bacterium partial 16S ribosomal RNA". It matches the Rfam family "Bacterial small subunit ribosomal RNA", at positions 355 to 776 of the family's 1533-position model. Lineage: Bacteria; Pseudomonadati; Gemmatimonadota. The record is from RNAcentral.